Molecule: ribosomal RNA, 1177 nt
Filed under: Clostridium tertium
Lineage: Bacteria; Bacillati; Bacillota; Clostridia; Eubacteriales; Clostridiaceae
Description: bacterial LSU rRNA
Rfam family: Bacterial large subunit ribosomal RNA
Source: RNAcentral
AAGUAGUGCCCGUACCGCAAACCGACACAGGUAGAUGAGGAGAGAAUCCUAAGGCCAUCGGAAGAAUUGCAGUUAAGGAACUAGGCAAAUUGACCCCGUAAGUUCGCGAGAAGGGGUGCCUGUGAGAGCAGGCCGCAGAGAAUAGGCCCAAGCAACUGUUUAGCAAAAACACAGGUCUCUGCUAAAGCGUAAGCUGAUGUAUAGGGGCUGACGCCUGCCCGGUGCUGGAAGGUUAAGGGGAACACUUAGCGCAAGCGAAGGUGUGAACUUAAGCCCCAGUAAACGGCGGCCGUAACUAUAACGGUCCUAAGGUAGCGAAAUUCCUUGUCAGGUAAGUUCUGACCCGCACGAAUGGCGUAAUGACUUGGGCACUGUCUCAACUGCAAAUCCGGCGAAGUUGUAGUGCGAGUGAAGAUGCUCGCUACCCGCGAUUGGACGGAAAGACCCCGUAGAGCUUUACUGUAGCUUAGCAUUGAGUUUCGAUAUUGUCUGUACAGGAUAGGUGGGAGACUGAGAAGCUAGGGCGUCAGCCUUAGUGGAGUCAACCUUGGGAUACCACCCUGACAGUAUUGGGAUUCUAACCGGACGCCAUGAAUCUGGUGACGGGACAUUGUUAGGUGGGCAGUUUGACUGGGGCGGUCGCCUCCUAAAAAGUAACGGAGGCGCCCAAAGGUUCCCUCAGAACGGUCGGAAAUCGUUCGAAGAGUGCAAAGGCAGAAGGGAGCCUGACUGCGACACCCACAAGUGGAGCAGGGACGAAAGUCGGGCUUAGUGAUCCGGUGGUACCUCGUGGGAGGGCCAUCGCUCAACGGAUAAAAGCUACCUCGGGGAUAACAGGCUGAUCUCCCCCAAGAGUCCACAUCGACGGGGAGGUUUGGCACCUCGAUGUCGGCUCGUCGCAUCCUGGGGCUGUAGUAGGUCCCAAGGGUUGGGCUGUUCGCCCAUUAAAGCGGCACGCGAGCUGGGUUCAGAACGUCGUGAGACAGUUCGGUCCCUAUCCGUCGCGGGCGUAGGAAAUUUGAGAGGAGCUGUCCUUAGUACGAGAGGACCGGGAUGGACUGACCUCUGGUGCACCAGUUGUUCCGCCAGGAGCAUAGCUGGGUAGCUAAGUCGGGAAGGGAUAAACGCUGAAAGCAUCUAAGCGUGAAGCCCCCCUCAAGAUGAGAUUUCCCAUAGC